This 77-nucleotide transfer RNA is filed under the name Albidovulum inexpectatum. RNAcentral's name for it is "tRNA-Arg". It matches the Rfam family "tRNA". Rfam says of the family: Transfer RNA (tRNA) molecules are approximately 80 nucleotides in length. RNAcentral also lists the same sequence under 9 other names. Lineage: Bacteria; Pseudomonadati; Pseudomonadota; Alphaproteobacteria; Rhodobacterales; Paracoccaceae. The record is from RNAcentral.
GCACCCGUAGCUCAGCUGGAUAGAGCACCAGACUACGAAUCUGGGGGUCGGGAGUUCGAAUCUUCCCGGGUGCGCCA